RNAcentral lists this ribosomal RNA (429 nucleotides) under uncultured bacterium. RNAcentral's name for it is "bacterial SSU rRNA". It matches the Rfam family "Bacterial small subunit ribosomal RNA", at positions 355 to 776 of the family's 1533-position model. The record is from RNAcentral.
UGGGGAAUAUUGGACAAUGGGGGAAACCCUGAUCCAGCAAUGCCGCGUGUGUGAAGAAGGCCUUCGGGUUGUAAAGCACUUUAGGUUGGGAAGAAGGGUUAUUACAUAAUAGGUAAUAGCUUUGACGGUACUAACAGAAUAAGCACCGGCUAACUCUGUGCCAGCAGCCGCGGUAAUACAGAGGGUGCGAGCGUUAAUCGGAAUAACUGGGCGUAAAGGGCGCGUAGGUGGUUUAUUAAGAUGCAUGUGAAAUCCCUGGGCUUAACCUAGGAAUGGCAUGGAUGACUGAUAAGCUAGAGUCUAGAAGAAGGUAGUGGAAUUUCCGGUGUAGCGGUGAAAUGCGUAGAGAUCGGAAGGAACAUCAGUGGCGAAGGCGUCUACCUAGACAAAGACUGACACUGAGGCGCGAAAGCGUGGGUAGCAAACAGG